Molecule: non-coding RNA, 241 nt
Filed under: Ruminococcus sp.
Lineage: Bacteria; Bacillati; Bacillota; Clostridia; Eubacteriales; Oscillospiraceae
Description: T-box sequence
Rfam family: T-box leader
About the family: Uncharged tRNA acts as the effector for transcription antitermination of genes in the T-box leader family. T-boxes are found upstream of many aminoacyl-tRNA synthetase genes and some amino acid biosynthetic genes usually in Gram-positive bacteria.
Source: RNAcentral
GUAAAUGCAAUGACGGGAAAUAAAGCCGUGAACGGAUUUUCAGAGAGCUGCCGUAUGGUGCAAGGCAGUAUUCCGAAAUGGUCAUAACUCCUCCCUGAGCAGUUCGCUGAACGCUUUAGUUAUUAGGUUGAAACGGGUUCUCCCGUUAUAGAGAAAUGCAUUGUCAGAUGCAGCUGAGUGGGCAUAGAUUAUAGUAUGCCAAAAAGAGUGGUACCGUGGAGUAUUAUGCUUCAUCUCUUUG